RNAcentral lists this long non-coding RNA (6395 nucleotides) under Sus scrofa (pig). RNAcentral describes it as "lncRNA (ENSSSCG00025001690.1)". The record is from RNAcentral. Lineage: Eukaryota; Metazoa; Chordata; Mammalia; Artiodactyla; Suidae.
GGAAAAGAGCUAUUAGGUUUCUUGAACAUUCUUGAAUAGCUAAUUCCUGGAGUCCUUCCUUAUCCUCCCUCACUCCUUCCCCUCUGUACCUUCCUGGCAUUUGCUCUAAGAUCUGCUGCUUUUCCAACAACGACCUGGCACAGAGCUGAGGUUUCCAAAUGUUAACUCCUUGGCACCGGUCCUGUAGGUGCUGAAAGAAUUCUUCCCUGAUUUGCACACAAACCCGUUCAUUUUGAUGCAUAUCAGGGUCAGCUUUUUGCCUCAAGUACAAGGUGGUUUGGAGGCCAGGGCACAGGGAACAGGGUGCAGAAGUGUCCUCUUUCUUUUCAGACCAUUUCUCAGCCGCUCUCACCUGAGCUGUAGAAAUGCCCUGUCCUUCCCGGCUCUUACUGAAUCCCCUGUGGGCAGAGGCAGAGUCAGACAGCAGACUGUCACCUACAUACCAGCUUUUCGGACUUCCUUCAAGCAGGUCUGCACAGUCCCCAGCUUCCCUGUGUGUCUCCUGCCUUUGUCCAGGGGCAAGCUUUUCUAAAGCGCCUGUGAUCGAAAAAAACCUUUCCACCCAGAUGCCACCGUUAAUAUGACUAUUUUAGCACGACACCUGUGAGGUUUACUCUGGGGUGAAGGAAUGGUCUCACCCGCCUGACAGCUAUGGGUGUCCUUAUUCUCUGCCUGAUUCUUAUAAACAGAUGGAGUUGGAGCAUGGUUCAGGGAAAACAAAGAGAGAAAGAGAUAAUUCCUUCAUGCAUUUCUUCCUUCCAAAAGCUUCUCUUGAGUGCUACUGCAUGGAUCUGGGAAAGAUAUUGGGGAUUCCAAUAUAAAUGACACAGUCUUUGUCCUCCAAAAACUCAAGAGUCUAGAGAAGAAAGAGAAACCAUUCUAAUAGCAUACAAGCAGAGCCUAUUACUUAGGAGAAGUUCUUCACAAUGUUGAGGGAAGAUUAGGGGUUUAAUAAAAGCUUCCUAGAAGCAGCAGCAUUUGAGUUGAAUCUGCCUAGAAAUGACAAAUGUUAUGGUGGGCCUUCUGUGGGUCAGACACUGUGGCAAGUGCUAAAUAAAUGUGAACAAAAUCGACUCUGACCCUGACAUUACAGAGCUUAAAUUUCAGAGAGAACAGAGAGAGGUGUAGUUGCAGGAUGGGAGGAGGGGCUUAGCAUCUAGCUGUAAAGGACAAAUACUAGCUAACAAUGAUGGAAUGGUCUUAUGUGCCAGAUACCACACUAAUUGCAUUGUAUUUCAUCUUAAAACAAAAUUAUGUAGCAGGCGUUGUUAUUUACAUUUUAAAGGUGAUCUCACUGAAAUUUAGAGCGUAUAAAUAACCUACCUUCCAUGGCAGAGCUUGUAGGUACAAGAUCUAAGAUUUCAUCUUCGGUGUGUCUUACCCCAAAAGAGAGGGAGGGCAUUUCAAGUCGAGAGACUAGCUUUUGCAAAGUUUUGGAAGUGGGACAGAAUCGAAUUUAUAUUCCAGAAGCUAAAAGUGGAGUAAAAGUGGAGCUAUUCUACAGGGGAGCAAUGGAGCUGAGAGCAUGGUAAAAAAUAAUGUUCCAGGGAGGGAAGUAACCAUUCAUAGAUGAACUUAUAACUUAGAAUGCUGAGGACUUUGCAGUUGGUUCCAGAGAGCCAUGAAAAACCAUCAGUGGGCUCUAAAUAAGAACAGGGUGGGAUAAAUUUAGAGUUUCGGAAGCACUAUUUUGACUGAUAAGUUAAAAGAAAUAGUGGAAUUGGUAAUAACUGGAAUAAUGAAGGUGAAAAACGGAUCCAUUGGAGAGCUUUAAAAGACAUAUAAUAAACCAGAGUUGGUGAGCUUAGACCUGGUGAAAUCAGGCAUGGUGAUGAAAGGGAGAGUGAACUGAUGACAACUCCCAAGUUUUUAGCAGGGCAAGCUGAGUUGAUGACAAUCUCUGAAAAGGGGAAUAUAAGCCAAUUUUUAGGGAGUAAGACUUUGUGUUCCCUUUAAACUUCUGGGAGAAACUCAGAAGGAGAUGUCUAGUAGUCUAUGAAUCUGAAGCUUUGGAGAGUGAUUUGGGUGGGAGAAAUUGAUGUAGAAGCCGUCUCCUACAGUCUUCCAGAAGUCACUGUUAAUGUGUUCAAUGAUGCAUCUCAAGCAGAACAUGCAUGGAGAAGAGGAAGAUGAUUUAUGAAAAAUCCAGGGAAUAUCAACACGAAAGAGAUAAGUAGAAGAAAAUAAAACCAUUAAAGGAGACUACAAAAGAGUGGAUAGAGUGGACAGAGAAAAGGUGCACGAAGAGUAUUUUUCUCUUUCCAUAGCACGUUAGGACUAAAAGCCAUCUGUCUCUUUCGCUUUAGAGAUGGAAGUGGUGCUGGGAGAGUUCAAGUGUAGGUGGCAGGGGUGGGGGUGGGGCUCCCAGAACAAGGGGAAGGCCACGGGGGCAACCAGCAUCUGCGCCCACAUGCGCACCUCUGUGGCGGUAUGACAUAAUCGGUACCCCUGGGCACAGGCGCAACUAUGUAACGAACUGCCCACAUUACAUAUCAGAAUUUACAGAAUGUAUGUUACCUCAUAAAGGGGACAAAGAGACCAAGCUGUAGUGGAAAACUAGUGGAGGUAUAUAAGGCAACACCCCGCUGCAUUUGGGGCUCAGCCUUUGGAUAUGAAUCCGCUGAGCCAGUGCCAACAGGAAUAAAUGCUGCUUCCUGGCAAAAACCCUCGGUGUCCCAUCUCUCUGUAUGAGAAUCCUGCAACACAAGCACACUGGCCAAGGACGUACAGCUGGUCACUAUUACAACUAGCCCUGAAGCCCAGUGCUGAGGACAGUUUUUGUGCUUUUGAUUUUGUUUUGGGUUUUUUUGUUUUGUUUUGUUUGGUUGGUAGUUUUUUGUUUUUUGGGUUCUUUUUUUUUUUUUUUUUUGCUGCACCCAUGGCAUGUAUCCUUUUGACAUCAGAUUUCAUCACAGAUUUCCAAUUUUUAAAAGGCAAUUCAAUUAUCCACUUGAGCCACUAAGAAGGGAGAAGGGAAUGUAUUCCUUGUUUGCCAGUUUCUUUUGCAUGGGGUAGCCCAGGAAAUAUAAGCUCAACCCCACAAAAUGGGCCUUAUUUUUCCAUUUUCUAUGGAAGAAACUGAGGCUAAGAAAUAGAAAGGUGUUGGGAUCACACAGCUACAGUAGACAGUUGCUUCAUUGCCAUGUUGUCAUGUUUCUGUUUGUCAACUCCUUGGGGGUUCAGUGCUGACUCUAUAUGCAAACUAGCCAGAAGGGACAAUUUUGGGGGGGGGAUCUUAAUAAUAAUAAAGGGGAAGAGGGUAGGUUGAUUUAAAAGCUUUGUUCGCUGCAUUGGGGAGUUGAGAUGAAUUCUAAAGUGGACCCAGAGCUUUGCGGAAAUGAGCAAGAUCUUUCAAGAAAUGCCAAUAAUUGAGAGCUAGCACCGGAGUUAUUAACAGAGUCGGCACUUUCUACUUUCAGAGCAAGUCUAUCAUUGUGCCAGGGCCUCAGCCUCUUGUGUUGGAAAUGAGUUAAUGUAGUCAAAAUAUGACAUGCUAUUUUUAUUCCUUCCCCAGAUCAGCCAUAGUUUAACAAUGCAUUUCAAAGUACGGCUGAUGGGAGCUCCACCUGGAACCUGUUCUCCCAGAUAAGUAUCUUCAUCCCAUUCAUCCUUUCAAGAAAAGAAAUCUUACUUGCAUGGCAGCAUUUUCAUCUGCUUUGGUUUCAGCUAGAGAUAAAUUGUGCUUGCGGGAACUAAUUAAUAUCAGUCACCUGGAAAGUAGAAAUUGGGAGACAACAGGCUUCUCUUUCUUGAUAAACAGAUUGCUGGGUAAGGGAGGCACGUGGAUGUGAGAAUUCAUUUGGUCCUAGAAAUAGCAGACAUGUGACUUUGGGGACCGAUAUUUGGAAAGCACAAGCAACCAAACCUCCUGGCUUCAGCCACUUGGGCUCAGGUGGGGCUUUUGUGCUAAGUUUCAAGCUUCCCUAAAUCCUCUGGAUCAGCAGAAAUCUCUAUGGCCCCCCAGGGAAGUUGCCCUGAAACUCUAACCAUAUUGUGAAAAUAAUGACCAACUCCUGGGAAAGCUUGUUUUGCACCCCUGUCAUCAGAAGUCCACCUUUGCCUGACCCGAGCUCCCACUUGGCUCAAGAACCAUAAAUGCUGGCCUAGAUGAUGUGUAACCCAAGGAAUCCAAAAUCAGAACCAUGCAGCUAGUGGGAAAAAGCAAAAUAUAUUUAGAAACAAGAAGCAGCAGACAGAUUCCCUAGAACCAGCCUGUCCAGGGAGAAGUUGUAAAGCUCUGAGGCAAGAUAGCCCAUGUUUGGUCUGGACCAGGAAGAGCAAACCCGUCAUAACCGCCACCAAUGAAGAUAUCACACUUCUGUCAUGGCAAACUCUUCUUUCGGGAGAUGGAUUUUGAAUGAGGCAGGAGAGGGAACAUGCCUCCGAAGGAGUAUUCCUUACACCCAGUUUCUCAGAGAAGGCUUGAGGGGUCAUUUCUCAUAUCAAGAAUCAUUAAUUUCUCUUUUUAUUGGAGCUUGAGAAGAAUGAUCUCCCAGAAGCUAUUGAGAGCCAGGGCAUCCAGGGAUUGAUGUAGAGAAUGUUGAAAAUUCUGACAAUUUGUGUUCAUUUACCCAGUCCAACAGCCAAUAUCCUUACAAACCCAAAGGACAAAACAAAGGGACAUUAGUAGAUUCGAAUAUGACAGUAUGGUUGCUGUGAUAGGUGUCUAUGCAGAAGACAUAAACAUGGAGUCAGUUCUACAAAUCUGGGCAAAAAGUAGGCGGAGAGAGAUCUGCAAAGAUUUUCUAGAGAAGGCAAAACUUGAACUAAGUCAAUGAAAGAUGGCAAGCGUCUGUAGGUAAACAGAUUAGGGAAAUCUAUUUUGCUCUGCACUCCACUCCAGGAGAGAUCUGGAUAAAGAGGGUUUUACUUCUGCUGCUUCUCCCACUGCCCACUGAACAUACCAAGGUCCACUCUGGGAAUAAAGAUCCCAUGUAGCUCUCACUGCCCAUUCUCGCUUAUGAGCAAUGGAUUUGUUCCCCUAGAUCUUGGGACAGUUCUGAAUUACUCAUUUCAUUGUAUGCAUUCACUAGAUUGCAAAUCCCUUGAAGACAGGGGCUCUCAUUAAUUGGUUUGUGCUUCUCUGGUGACUACAACAAUGUCUGGGACAUAGCUGGUGUUUUUCUGAAGUUCAUUAAGUACUAUAUAUAUGUCUCCACACAUUUUAGCAAUUUCUUAAAUAUAGGAACCAUAUGAUUCAGCCCUCUAGCACAGAGUUCAAAGGAAAUAUUCAAUAAAUGCUUAAUGAAUGCCUAAGUAAGUGGGGACAUUUUUAAACGUUGAGAAAUAAGUUAGUGCUACAUCUUCUUCUAGGAACCCCCCCAGACUUUAGCUUGAUAGUGGAGGCAGUGAUACACUAUAUGUCCAUCUUCUGACCAGUGUCAAUGUCCCUCCUGCCUUCCUCCAGGGAGUAAGGACUUGGUUAGGCAUUCUGAUUUCUCUCACUUUGGGUCUCAGAUAACCAUCUAUCACCUUGAAAUGAUCUGAGCAACAGUGAUCUACAACUGGUAAUGGCCAUGGUUUAUUAUCUUUCCCAAGAGUCCUUUCAGUGUGGUUAAAAAAUAUGUGCAUCACAAGCAUUGAAUUUCUAGUGUGACUGGUCAGCCAUAGAAGAGAUAUUUUGGAGAAAGGAAUCUGCCAUGAACCUCUCAACUCUUCUCUGGAUGCAGCUGCCUAAUCUGCAAUAAGAUUGACUCUGCCUCCUUUUCUGGCCACACCUGACUGAUUAGUCAAUAUCCCUGAUGUCUUCAUGGACUCAGUUUAUUCUGUAUGAGUUUGUCAGUGUGUUACUGGUUCAUGUUCUGAUAUUAUAUGAUGCCUAACAACUUGUGGUGUCACUGAAGCAGCAACAAUGGCUUAUAUUCUAACCCAGACCCUACCAUUGUGUGACCUGAAGCCAAGGACUUACCUUCUGUGACCCUGAGCAUCCUUGAUUGUGUCCCCUCAGAUCCUUAUCCUGAUGUUUGUUCUGUAAUUCUUUGAGUUUUAUUUACCUUCUCGAAUAGAGUCUAUGAGGUCAUCAGAUAUAUAUUUCACUUCAUCUUUCCUUUGGGGAAGUUUCCUCUGCAGGUGGGAUGGGGGUUGGCCUUGGAGGGAUAUAAGAAUUGCCACUGAUCUUGUGUAACUUGUUACUCAUGAUGCUGAGAGGUUCACAGCCCAUCCAAGCUUUUUAAAUAAUCCAUUCAAUCCCAGCCCUUGGCCUGAUCAUGUAAAGGGUUGGAAAAUCACAGCCAUAGGAAGCUCUGAAAGUGGAAUCGCAUCUGUGUAUUUGAUGGGUGAUGAAGGAGACGUGAAGAAGGAGAAGGGACAUAGCCAAUAAGGGAGUAGCAUCUUCUGCCAUCCAGAUUUACUUAGGACCACCUCCUUCCUGAAUUUAAAUAUUCACAGAUUGUGUA